CUGGCAAUGGGAAACUCCACUGUCGUGAACCAGAGAGCCUGAAAAAGACAGGACUCAUUUUCUCCCAGGGGAUCGGGCAAUAAAGGAAAGCUCACAGGAUCCUCUAGGAGUAGUCAGAUGGGAAUCCCAGUUCAGAAGAAGAAGCCAGUCUACCUUAGCGUUCCAUUAUCUACAGAGGGAGCUCAGCAUCAGCAGUAUUGUCUACCAUACGAAUCCUAUUCCACACAGGGAAGGAGUGAUCCCCAAGAAUCAAAUGCAAUACCUCACAUGUGGUGCAGCAAAGGGAAAAUCCAGUCCUGUUGGACCCCAUAUACGAUCCCCGAGAGGCAACUAGGCAACAAUCAUCCUACAGAGGACCUCCAAGGAGGUUCAGUGGUUUUCCCAGCAUCACACAGGCAUAAGCA
Grammomys surdaster is the source of this 404-nucleotide long non-coding RNA. RefSeq lists it as uncharacterized. NCBI's taxonomy places the organism in Eukaryota, Metazoa, Chordata, Mammalia, Rodentia, Muridae. The record is from RefSeq and is a predicted model, not a curated record. The transcript has 3 exons.